CGGCAAGGGGGUCAUCCCGACUUACCAACCCGAUGCAAACUGCGAAUACCGGAGAAUGUUAUCACGGGAGACACACGGCGGGUGCUAACGUCCGUCGUGAAGAGGGAAACAACCCAGACCGCCAGCUAAGGUCCCAAAGUCAUGGUUAAGUGGGAAACGAUGUGGGAAGGCCCAGACAGCCAGGAUGUUGGCUUAGAAGCAGCCAUCAUUUAAAGAAAGCGUAAUAGCUCACUGGUCGAGUCGGCCUGCGCGGAAGAUGUAACGGGGCUAAACCAUGCACCGAAGCUGCGGCAGCGACGCUUAUGCGUUGUUGGGUAGGGGAGCGUUCUGUAAGCCUGUGAAGGUGUGCUGUGAGGCAUGCUGGAGGUAUCAGAAGUGCGAAUGCUGACAUAAGUAACGAUAAAGCGGGUGAAAAGCCCGCUCGCCGGAAGACCAAGGGUUCCUGUCCAACGUUAAUCGGGGCAGGGUGAGUCGACCCCUAAGGCGAGGCCGAAAGGCGUAGUCGAUGGGAAACAGGUUAAUAUUCCUGUACUUGGUGUUACUGCGAAGGGGGGACGGAGAAGGCUAUGUUGGCCGGGCGACGGUUGUCCCGGUUUAAGCGUGUAGGCUGGUUUUCCAGGCAAAUCCGGAAAAUCAAGGCUGAGGCGUGAUGACGAGGCACUACGGUGCUGAAGCAACAAAUGCCCUGCUUCCAGGAAAAGCCUCUAAGCAUCAGGUAACAUCAAAUCGUACCCCAAACCGACACAGGUGGUCAGGUAGAGAAUACCAAGGCGCUUGAGAGAACUCGGGUGAAGGAACUAGGCAAAAUGGUGCCGUAACUUCGGGAGAAGGCACGCUGAUAUGUAGGUGAAGUCCCUCGCGGAUGGAGCUGAAAUCAGUCGAAGAUACCAGCUGGCUGCAACUGUUUAUUAAAAACACAGCACUGUGCAAACACGAAAGUGGACGUAUACGGUGUGACGCCUGCCCGGUGC
This 971-nucleotide ribosomal RNA is filed under the name Escherichia coli. RNAcentral's name for it is "partial 23S ribosomal RNA". It matches the Rfam family "Bacterial large subunit ribosomal RNA", at positions 916 to 1869 of the family's 2925-position model. The record is from RNAcentral. Lineage: Bacteria; Pseudomonadati; Pseudomonadota; Gammaproteobacteria; Enterobacterales; Enterobacteriaceae.